This 124-nucleotide ribosomal RNA is filed under the name Lysidice rhodostegia. RNAcentral describes it as "partial 18S ribosomal RNA". It matches the Rfam family "Eukaryotic small subunit ribosomal RNA". The record is from RNAcentral. Lineage: Eukaryota; Viridiplantae; Streptophyta; Magnoliopsida; Fabales; Fabaceae.
UAUCGUGGUGACGUGAGCGGUCACCGUCAACGUCGCGAGAAGUCCACUGAACCUUAUCAUUUAGAGGAAGGAGAAGUMGUAACAAGGUUUCUGUAGGUGAACMUAUGAAAGGAUUAUUGUCGAC